Molecule: ribosomal RNA, 252 nt
Filed under: uncultured bacterium
Lineage: Bacteria
Description: partial 16S ribosomal RNA
Rfam family: Bacterial small subunit ribosomal RNA
Source: RNAcentral
UACGGGGGGAGCAAGCGUUGUUCGGAUUUACUGGGCGUAAAGGGCGCGUAGGCGGCCACCGCAAGUCGAUUGUGAAAUCUCCGGGCUUAACCCGGAAAGGUCAACCGAUACUGCGGGCUAGAGUGCAGAAGGGGCAACUGGAAUUCUCGGUGUAGCGGUGAAAUGCGUAGAUAUCGAGAGGAACACCUGCGGCGAAGGCGGGUUGCUGGGCUGACACUGACGCUGAAGUGCGAAAGCUAGGGGAGCGAACGG